This 627-nucleotide ribosomal RNA is filed under the name Rhizoctonia solani. Its description in RNAcentral is "eukaryotic LSU rRNA". The stretch from base 201 to 354 matches the Rfam family "5.8S ribosomal RNA". Lineage: Eukaryota; Fungi; Basidiomycota; Agaricomycetes; Cantharellales; Ceratobasidiaceae. The record is from RNAcentral.
UGGGGAGGUCAUUUUGAAAGAAAUUUGAGUCUGGUGUCGCUGGGUGUCUUUGCAGCAUGUGCACGCCUUUUUUUUUUAUUCACACACACCCCCGUGCACUUGUGAGAGUGGAGGCCGUAAAAAAGCCUUCAGUUUGGUAAAUUCAUAUACCAACUCAUUUAAUUGAACUGAAUGUACUUGAUGUAACGCAUCAUUGAAAUAAGUUUCAACAACGGAUUUUUUGGCUUUUGCAUUGAUGAAGGACGCAGGGAAAUGCGAUAAGUAAUGUGAAUUGCAGAAUUCAGUGAAUCCUUGAAUUUUUGAACGCCCCCUGCGGUCCUUGGUAUUCCUUGGAGCAUGCCUGUUUGAGUAUCCUGAAAUUUUCAAAGUAAACCUUUUGUUAAUUCAACUGGUCUUGCUUUGGAAUUGGAGGUUUUUGCAGAAGUCACCGUUUGCUCCUUUUAAAUAAAUUAGGUGGAUUUCCGUAUACACUUGGUUUCCCUUGGGGUGAUAAGUAUCCCUCGGUGAGGACACUGUAAAAAGGUGGCCAGGCAAUACAGAUGAACCGCUUCUAAUAGUCCAUUGACUUGGACAAUUACAUUUAUGAUCUGAUCUCAAAUCAGGUAGACUACCGCUGACUUACGCAAU